Schistosoma mattheei is the source of this 45-nucleotide non-coding RNA. NCBI's taxonomy places the organism in Eukaryota, Metazoa, Platyhelminthes, Trematoda, Strigeidida, Schistosomatidae. The record is from Rfam.
AUCCAGAUGACGAGUCUCAGACAGGACGAAACGCACGUCCUGGAU